Molecule: unclassified non-coding RNA, 335 nt
Filed under: Sebacinales sp.
Lineage: Eukaryota; Fungi; Basidiomycota; Agaricomycetes; Sebacinales
Description: partial contains 5.8S ribosomal RNA, internal transcribed spacer 2, and large subunit ribosomal RNA
Rfam family: 5.8S ribosomal RNA (bases 1-71)
Source: RNAcentral
GUGAGUCAUCGAAUCUUUGAACGCACCUUGCACCCUUUGGUAUUCCGAAGGGUACGCCCGUUUGAGUGUCAUUGUAAUCUCACACCGAUCACUUUGGUGAUUGGAGGUGGACUUGGACCUUGCUGUGUCAUUAUGGCUGGUCUGAAAUGCGUGAGUGUACCCUGCCUUUGCAGCGUCUUCAGUGUGAUAAGCAUCUUCACUGGAACCAAGCUCCUUCGGGACACGUGAGCAUGGUGGGCUCUAUGCUGCCAACCGUCCUUGGACAUACUCUGACAAUUUGACCUCAAAUCGGGUGGGACUACCCGCUGAACUUAAGCAUAUCAAUAAGCGGAGGA